This 526-nucleotide ribosomal RNA is filed under the name Uromastyx princeps. RNAcentral's name for it is "partial 16S ribosomal RNA". It matches the Rfam family "Bacterial large subunit ribosomal RNA", at positions 1813 to 2606 of the family's 2925-position model. The record is from RNAcentral. Lineage: Eukaryota; Metazoa; Chordata; Lepidosauria; Squamata; Agamidae.
ACAUAGCCACUAGCCAACAAAACAAGUAUUAGAGGUGACACCUGCCCAGUGAGGCUCCUUCCUUUAACGGCCGCAAAAACCAACCGCGCAAAGGUAGCGCAAUCACUUGUCCCCCAAAUAGGGACCUGUAUGAAAGGUUGCAUGAGAAAGAAACUGUCUCCUGUGGCUAGUCGAUGAAACUGAUCUGCCAGUACGAAAGCUGGUAUAAAAAAAUAGGACAAAAAGACCCUGUGAAACUUUUAAACCUAAUCAAAACCACACUUGACAACGGUUUUUAGUUGGGGCAACUGAAGAGAAACAAAACCUCUACCAACUGCCAAGUCCAACAAGACAAAGCACACUUUCACCAACCGACCCAGUACCACUGAUCAAAGAACCAAGCUACUCCAGGGAUAACAGCGCUACAUCCUUUAAGAGUCCAUAUCAACAAGGUGUACCUACGACCUCGAUGUUGGAUCAGGGCAACCUGACGGCGAAAAGGCUGUCAAGGGUUCGUUUGUUCAACGAUUAAAGCCCUACGUGAUCU